CACCCCCAGGCCUGCAUGUGUUUCAGGUCACACUCAGGAGGACAGACAUGGGCAAGAGGCCUGCAGGUCUAGGAAGCAGGCUCAAGACCACUUGGGUGGGGAACUGUGGUUUCCCAGGUACCUGGAGCAUGGUCUAGGAGUGGGGCUUGCAAGCUCCAGCGGAAACCCCAGUGUGAUGGUGGAAGCAGCAUGAAAACAACAUCUCCCCAGGCCUCGCAGUAGAGGCGAAGGGAAGAGGGCUGCCCAUGUGCCUGCCUCUAAAGACGCCACCCUCAGGUUGAUGUCACCUGUGGGAGACCGGGUCCACCUACAGACACCAGGUGAUGGUCCACCAGGCCCCAAGCUCCAGCCUGCUGAGUCCCCAAGACACGGGCUCAUUAAAUAGCUUCGUACAAAAACCCAAGGGUGUCCCUCCAGCUGGUAAAAAUUGAGCAAUUUCUACUUGAGGUCUGCUGUGGGGGUGGACCUCACCUUGGAGAUGUCUUUCCAAAAUAAAACUAAGCCCUACUCAGGAAAAAUGGUGAUGAAAGGCAGCUCACAGACAUGCACGACUAAUAAUCUUAUUGAAAAGGGAGGAGCUCAGGCACACAGGAGGACAAGGCUAUGCAAUACGCAGACAUGAAAGAAAUGCCACGGGAUGCUGUCAGGGGUCAGCAGGAGGCAAAGAGGUAGAGCUCUGGUCAGGAACGCUCUGCCUAGAGAGAGCCCUCUGCAGCUGGCCCUAGAUCGGGGACUCAGGGGAGUAUCUGCCUAAGGACCAAGGAGACACCAACAGCCUGCCCAGGUGCGGGCUUGUGCAGGUCACACAGUCCUCAUGAGUCUCCUGGACAGGAAAUGGACAUGAAGGACAUUUUUGAGACAGGGGGCAAAGUGCAGAGAGAGCCAAGAGGUCAAGAUGGUGCCAGAGAUUUUGAAACCACAAGAGCCGCCCCUUUGGGAAACACUGAGAAGAGGAGCCUCUUCUCUAGCCUCUGCUUGGGGCAAGCCUGGGUCAGGUGGGUUCUCAGUACUUUUUCACAGUUAAGUCUUUUCCUGGGCAGCCACAUCCACGUCAGGCUGGGCUGGGCUGUGGCCAGUCGAGGGGUCCUUUGGCAGGUUCAAAGCUGUGAGCCACCCCGAGAGAACGUGCCCACUUCCCUGCUUUGUGGUUCAUAGGCCUAGAGAGACCCGACAGCGGGCUGCCCAGUGUGAGUGAGAAUGCCUGCAUGUUUCAGUGGUCAGGGGCGGAGAGGCCUGUACUCCAGAUUCCCCAAAGAGAUCAAAACAUACUAAAACAGCCUGCAGGUCUAUGUGUGUCUAACAGUGCUCAGCCAAGUCCACGGCCUGGGUCAGCAACAUUCCAGAAGAGGAAGAGCAUUGUAGCCGGUUGUUUGGCCAAAUGGUAGCGAUGGGGAACAGGUCUCAGGUUGGGCAUGUGGAAGGUUUUCCAGUACCUUGGAUUAAGACAGGAUGCAGUGGUCCUAAAUUCUUCCAGUCAGACUGAGUUAACAGCAUGUCUUAGUAGCAGGAAUUUGUCCUUGUUUUUGUCACACAAAGGUUGGUGGAGACGGGGCCAGGACAUGGCCAGUUUGAUGACAGUGGAGAAGCUGCUGCCAGUUCUGUGGGGCGCAGCCCACCUUCUCCUCACGGCCCUCAGGUGAAGUAGCGGCAGGGCGUGGAGUCGAUGUAGCAGUACUGGGUGCAUCGCAGGUCUCCAUAUGACCUGAGGGAGGCAAAGACACGUUCUAAAAGGCCA
RNAcentral lists this long non-coding RNA (1735 nucleotides) under Pan troglodytes (chimpanzee). RNAcentral describes it as "long non-coding RNA NONPTRT011292". Lineage: Eukaryota; Metazoa; Chordata; Mammalia; Primates; Hominidae. The record is from RNAcentral.